RNAcentral lists this ribosomal RNA (492 nucleotides) under uncultured bacterium. Its description in RNAcentral is "partial 16S ribosomal RNA". It matches the Rfam family "Bacterial small subunit ribosomal RNA", at positions 29 to 507 of the family's 1533-position model. The record is from RNAcentral.
AGUGAGCGCUGGCGGUAGGCCUAACACAUGCAAGUCGAACGGCAGCACAGUAAGAGCCUGCUCUUACGGGUGGCGAGUGGCGGACGGGUGAGGAAUACAUCGGAAUCUACUUUUUCGUGGGGGAUAACGUAGGGAAACUUACGCUAAUACCGCAUACGACCUACGGGUGAAAGCAGGGGAUCUUCGGACCUUGCGCGAUUGAAUGAGCCGAUGUCGGAUUAGCUAGUUGGCGGGGUAAAGGCCCACCAAGGCGACGAUCCGUAGCUGGUCUGAGAGGAUGAUCAGCCAAACUGGAACUGAGACACGGUCCAGACUCCUACGGGAGGCAGCAGUGGGGAAUAUUGGACAAUGGGCGCAAGCCUGAUCCAGCCAUACCGCGUGGGUGAAGAAGGCCUUCGGGUUGUAAAGCCCUUUUGUUGGGAAAGAAAAGCAGCAGGUUAAUACCCCGCUGUUCUGACGGUACCCAAAGAAUAAGCACCGGCUAACUUCGUG